CCUACGGGUGGCAGCAGUGGGGAAUAUUGGACAAUGGGGGCAACCCUGAUCCAGCCAUGCCGCGUGUGUGAAGAAGGCCCUCGGGUUGUAAAGCACUUUCAGUGAGGAAGAACGCCUGGUGGUUAAUACCCAUCAGGAAAGACAUCACUCACAGAAGAAGCACCGGCUAACUCCGUGCCAGCAGCCGCGGUAAUACGGAGGGUGCGAGCGUUAAUCGGAAUUACUGGGCGUAAAGCGCGCGUAGGUGGCUUGAUAAGCCGGUUGUGAAAGCCCCGGGCUCAACCUGGGAACGGCAUCCGGAACUGUCAAGCUAGAGUGCAGGAGAGGAAGGUAGAAUUUCCGGUGUAGCGGUGAAAUGCGUAGAGAUCGGGAGGAAUACCAGUGGCGAAGGCGGCCUUCUGGACUGACACUGACACUGAGGUGCGAAAGCGUGGGUAGCAAACAGGAUUAGAUACCCUUGUAGUC
Molecule: ribosomal RNA, 465 nt
Filed under: Vreelandella stevensii
Lineage: Bacteria; Pseudomonadati; Pseudomonadota; Gammaproteobacteria; Oceanospirillales; Halomonadaceae
Description: partial 16S ribosomal RNA
Rfam family: Bacterial small subunit ribosomal RNA
Source: RNAcentral